UUUGUUUGGAGCACCAUUUUGCAUGUUGAGCAACGUUGAGCACUUUUUAGCACUUUGGGCAACAUUUGAGCAAUAUUUCACAUUUCGAGCGAAUUUUGAGCAACAAAAAGUUAGCGAUUAUAGAAUUCGAUUCGUACUUCGAUUAACUAAACAUACAGUUCGGAGUAAGGUUUAAAAAUUGACGGGUAUUAUACUAUUAUUUAUAUAUAAUU
Paramuricea clavata is the source of this 212-nucleotide non-coding RNA. NCBI's taxonomy places the organism in Eukaryota, Metazoa, Cnidaria, Anthozoa, Malacalcyonacea, Plexauridae. The record is from the annotation of a GenBank genome assembly.